This 690-nucleotide ribosomal RNA is filed under the name uncultured bacterium. Its description in RNAcentral is "bacterial SSU rRNA". It matches the Rfam family "Bacterial small subunit ribosomal RNA", at positions 32 to 715 of the family's 1533-position model. The record is from RNAcentral.
AACGCUAGCUACAGGCUUAACACAUGCAAGUCGAGGGGCAGCGCAGUGUAGCAAUACACGGGCGGCGACCGGCGCACGGGUGCGUAACGCGUAUCCAACCUUCCCGUUACUCUUGGAUAGCCUUCCGAAAGGGAGAUUAAUACAAGAUGGUAUUCAAAUUCCGCAUGUUAUUUGAAUUAAAGAUUUAUCGGUAACGGAUGGGGAUGCGUGACAUUAGAUAGUAGGCGGGGUAACGGCCCACCUAGUCUACGAUGUCUAGGGGUUCUGAGAGGAAGGUCCCCCACACUGGAACUGAGACACGGUCCAGACUCCCACGGGAGGCAGCAGUGAGGAAUAUUGGUCAAUGGUCGGAAGACUGAACCAGCCAAGUAGCGUGAAGGAUGAAGGUUCUAUGGAUUGUAAACUUCUUUUAUACGGGAAUAAAACCUCCCACGUGUGGGAGCUUGUAUGUACCGUAUGAAUAAGCAUCGGCUAACUCCGUGCCAGCAGCCGCGGUAAUACGGAGGAUGCGAGCGUUAUCCGGAUUUAUUGGGUUUAAAGGGAGCGUAGACGGGAUGUUAAGUCAGUUGUGAAAGGCUGCGGCUCAACCGCAGCACUGCAGUUGAUACUGGCGUCCUUGAGUGCGGUUGAGGUAUGUGGAAUUCGUGGUGUAGCGGUGAAAUGCUUAGAUAUCACGAAGAACUCCGAUUG